Molecule: ribosomal RNA, 470 nt
Filed under: Hyporhamphus quoyi
Lineage: Eukaryota; Metazoa; Chordata; Actinopteri; Beloniformes; Hemiramphidae
Description: partial large subunit ribosomal RNA
Rfam family: Bacterial large subunit ribosomal RNA
Source: RNAcentral
CUGUCUCUUUCCCCCAGUCAAUGAAAUUGAUCUCCCCGUGCAGAAGCGGGGAUCCUCACAUAAGACGAGAAGACCCUUUGGAGCUUUAGACAAAAAGUAGACCAUGUCCCCACCCCCCAAUAAAAGGAAUGAACUAAUUGGUCCCUACCCUUCGUCUUUGGUUGGGGCGACCGCGGGGAAACAAAAAACCCCCAUGUGGAACGGAAGACUAUCUUCUAUAACCAAGACCCACAGCUCUAAGUUUCAGAAUUUCUGACCAAAAAGAUCCGGCACCGCGGUCAACGGACCGAGUUACCCUAGGGAUAACAGCGCAAUCCCCUUUUAGAGCCCAUAUCGACAAGGGGGUUUACGACCUCGAUGUUGGAUCAGGACAUCCUAAUGGUGCAGCCGCUAUUAAGGGUUCGGUUGUUCAACGAUUAAAGUCCUACGUGAUCUGAGUUCAGACCGGAGCGCCUGUUUAUCAAAACAUA